UCAUGCAUUCGGUCUGUGCACGUUAUUUGAUGGAAUUGUAUCGUUUCGGUAAUCUUUUCGUGUACUCCCGUGACCCGAGUGCUCAACUCAAAGCCGUCAGUAUCGCAUCGUAGUACAAGUGUUUUCUUUUCAUAGUAUACGAGCUAUAUAUAUAGUUAAUAAUUAUGGAAAUAAUCUCAGACAAAAUGCUGGCAGAAACAGCACACAUAUUAGACGAAGAUAAUGAUAAUGAUCUACGGAAUACAUUUCGUCAACAAUUUGCUAAUGAAAACAAUGAGGAAAAUGAGUCCACGGUAAAAAAUCAUAUGGACUAAUUUAUAAAAAAAUAUUGAAACGGAACUACGAUGCAAUAUUUGUUUUGAAAUAUUUACUGAGCUAACUGUUUUUAACUAUUCUCGCAUGUUUUUCAAUCAAUGUAUUGAAACAUGGACCAAGAGUGUUAAUAAAUGUCCAUUACGUCGAAAACUAGUGAAAAAUAAUACUUUUUAUGUCAUUAGAUCCGUUUUUAAAUAAAAUAAUUCCAUGUUUACCAAAUGAAAUAAGGGCAUGGCGUGAAUCACCAAAAGCAAAACAAAAGAUGAUAAAAUUAAUGUAAAUAUAUGAAGAAAUAAUGGAAAUAAUAUUAUUCACUGACCAAUAUUGGACUAACGUGAAGAUAGAAUGUGAAAUAUUACGCCUAAUGCAAAUAUUUUGUUUUAGUUAUUGUAAAUAUUUCAAUACAUUCUUUAAUCCACUUAUCAGUAAAAACGAAAAUAUUUACUUUUUGUAUCAGUCUCGGUCUUUCAAUGCCCUCCCUUUUUCUAUCCCCCUGUCUGCCCUAAUAUAAUGUUGAAGCAUUUUUUUUUUUUUUUUUAAUUGUAAAACUUAGAUUA
Long non-coding RNA from Sipha flava (yellow sugarcane aphid), 872 nucleotides. RefSeq lists it as uncharacterized. NCBI's taxonomy places the organism in Eukaryota, Metazoa, Arthropoda, Insecta, Hemiptera, Aphididae. The record is from RefSeq and is a predicted model, not a curated record. The transcript has 3 exons.